GUGUAGCUGGAAGGAGAAUUCAGCUCUUUCGCAUGAUGUUGCCGGAGCAUCGGACUGUAGAGUGCUUACUACAGCAUCAAGAUCACUAGUUUUGGGGUAACCCUUUACUAGCCUUGAGCUCUACAGUCUACGGAAUGUUCCAGGAUACUCUAGGCAGCAUUCGUGUGGGGAGUGCAUUUUCUCAUCUUCCGAGCUCGAGUCUCGACCAGUGUGGCGGACUUGAGAGAAGACUCGUAUACAGUGGCUAUAGAAAGGUAUGCUAACACCAUACCUGAUCUAUUUCCCAGUUAUCAAAGCUACUGAUUAUCCUUGCGGUAGUCAGACUAGCUUUGAGCUGGAAUAGGCAGCUAUAGUCACAAACACACUGGAUAAGAAUCUCUGCGUAUGCAGGGUCAACACAAUGCCCGUGAGGUGCCAGCAUAUCGAGUAGUAUUUCGCUAUUGAGCUUUGUUUUUGUACUCAGUGCAAGAACGGUUCAUGUAUAUUACUCUUGGGUGGUGUGUUGGAUACAUCUCAUUGGGUUAUUGGACUGUUGAUGUGAUUCGGAGACAAGUAGAUCGGUACUCUAUCCGACCCGUCUUGAAACACGGACCAAGGAGUCUAACAUGUAUGCAAGCCGAACAGUCUUGUAUAGGCUUGGAAGGCGAAUUGAAAGAAAUAUACUGUGGGUAUGAUGUGUACCAACUCAUUGUCCAUGAAUGUGGUACAAUGUUGGUUCACCGCAAUACCGGCCCGUGGGCUAUCCUCUUUACCGAGAUAUCCGCGGAGCUAUAGUAUAUAUGUUAGUACCCGAAAGAUGGUGAACUAUGCCCGGGCAAGAUGAAGCCAGAGGAAACUCUGGUGGAGGUCUGUAGCGAUUCUGACGUGCAAAUCGAUCGUCAGAUCC
RNAcentral lists this ribosomal RNA (886 nucleotides) under Brevipalpus cuneatus. RNAcentral describes it as "partial 28S ribosomal RNA". The stretch from base 320 to 886 matches the Rfam family "Eukaryotic large subunit ribosomal RNA", at positions 1 to 912 of the family's 3401-position model. The record is from RNAcentral. Lineage: Eukaryota; Metazoa; Arthropoda; Arachnida; Trombidiformes; Tenuipalpidae.